GGAGGAAUAUUGGUCAAUGGGGCGAGAGCCUGAACCAGCCAAGUAGCGUGCAGGACGACGGCCCUAUGGGUUGUAAACUGCUUUUAUAAGGGAAUAAAGUGGGUCACGUGUGACUUUUUGCAUGUACCUUAUGAAUAAGGACCGGCUAAUUCCGUGCCAGCAGCCGCGGUAAUACGAAAGGUCCGGGCGUUAUCCGGAUUUAUUGGGUUUAAAGGGAGCGUAGGCCGGAGAUUAAGCGUGUUGUGAAAUGUAGUGGCUCAACCUCUGCACUGCAGCGCGAACUGGAUGACUUGAGUUCGCGGGAGGUAGGCGGAAUUCGUGGUGUAGCGGUGAAAUGCUUAGAUAUCACGAAGAACUCCGAUUGCGAAGGCAGCUUACCGUAGCGUUACUGACGCUGAAGCUCGAAAGUGCGGGGU
This 416-nucleotide ribosomal RNA is filed under the name uncultured Prevotella sp. RNAcentral describes it as "bacterial SSU rRNA". It matches the Rfam family "Bacterial small subunit ribosomal RNA", at positions 355 to 767 of the family's 1533-position model. Lineage: Bacteria; Pseudomonadati; Bacteroidota; Bacteroidia; Bacteroidales; Prevotellaceae. The record is from RNAcentral.